AAUGGGCGAAAGCCUGACGGAGCAACGCCGCGUGAGGGAGGAAGGCCUGUGGGUUGUAAACCUCUUUUCUCAGGGAAGAAGUUCUGACGGUACCUGAGGAAUCAGCAUCGGCUAACUCCGUGCCAGCAGCCGCGGUAAGACGGAGGAUGCAAGCGUUAUCCGGAAUUAUUGGGCGUAAAGCGUCCGUAGGUGGUUUUKAAAGUCUGUUGUUAAAUCCCACAGCUCAACUGUGGAUCGGCAAUGGAAACUGCUAGACUUGAGUGUGGUAGGGGUAGAGGGAAUUCCCAGUGUAGCGGUGAAAUGCGUAGAUAUUAGGAAGAACACCAGUGGCGAAGGCGCUCUACUGGGCCAUAACUGACACUGAUGGACGAAAGCUAGGGGAGCGAAAGGGAUUAGAUACCCC
This 403-nucleotide ribosomal RNA is filed under the name uncultured cyanobacterium. RNAcentral's name for it is "bacterial SSU rRNA". It matches the Rfam family "Bacterial small subunit ribosomal RNA", at positions 370 to 788 of the family's 1533-position model. The record is from RNAcentral. Lineage: Bacteria; Bacillati; Cyanobacteriota.